AGUGAACGCUGGCGGUAGGCCUAACACAUGCAAGUCGAACGGCAGCACAGUAAGAGCUUGCUCUUACGGGUGGCGAGUGGCGGACGGGUGAGGCAUACAUCGGAAUCUACUUUUUCGUGGGGGAUAACGUAGGGAAACUUACGCUAAUACCGCAUACGACCUACGGGUGAAAGCCGGUGAUCUUCGGACCUUGCGCGAUUGACUGAGCCGAUGUCGGAUUAGCUAGUUGGCGGGGUAAAGGCCCACCAAGGCGACGAUCCGUAGCUGGUCUGAGAGGAUGAUCAGCCACACUGGAACUGAGACACGGUCCAGACUCCUACGGGAGGCAGCAGUGGGGAAUAUUGGACAAUGGGCGCAAGCCUGAUCCAGCCAUACCGCGUGGGUGAAGAAGGCCUUCGGGUUGUAAAGCCCUUUUGUUGGGAAAGAAAAGCAGCAGGUUAAUACCCCGCUGUUCUGACGGUACCCAAAGAAUAAGCACCGGCUAACUUCGUG
This 492-nucleotide ribosomal RNA is filed under the name uncultured bacterium. RNAcentral describes it as "partial 16S ribosomal RNA". It matches the Rfam family "Bacterial small subunit ribosomal RNA", at positions 29 to 507 of the family's 1533-position model. The record is from RNAcentral.